This is a non-coding RNA of Callithrix jacchus (white-tufted-ear marmoset), 1809 nucleotides long. The record is from RefSeq and is a predicted model, not a curated record. Lineage: Eukaryota; Metazoa; Chordata; Mammalia; Primates; Cebidae.
GUAAAUUUCAAACAGAUUUUCAAUACUGAUAUUGGUUUCAAAACUGACUCCCUCCAGAACUUAAAGUAUUAAACUCCUGAGAGUCUUCAUAUAACAUACUCCAUUUUGCCAAACAGACCACUUUAUUAUAAUUAUCAUUCCAUCAUCUCAAAGUGGGAAUGAUAACACCCGCAUCACAAAGACAGUGUGAGGAUUAGGCAGCAAAAGCCUGUUAGCACUGUGUAGAGUGCUCUAGAAGUUUUAAUUUAUUUACAGCAGAAAUUUUGCCUCAUGGGAACUAUGUGAAAAGCAGAGGCAAGUGGGAAGCUGCGGGUAGCUACACGUCAAUACCCAGGAACACCGGCAGGUGAUGGGGGGAGGGAGGGCGGUCAACAACCUCCUAAGGAGUCCUCGUAGCCUCUCCUCAGACCAAUAGCAGCAGAAACCCAUACUGCAGGACUCCCACCUCGGACUGAGUUACCUGCAAGGAUAUGUAAAUCUCAUCUCCUUGGAAAACUGCUAAAUAAUAACACUGCCAACGUGCAGACCCCAGGCGCUCAGAUCCCUGCCAGUGUAGUUCAUGUGCCUCUGGGACUUGCAAGCCGAAACAUGUGUGCACGUCUGAGCGGCUGAACCAACAUGUAUCCAUAAACAUUAUGAAUAAUACUCGCGAGAAUGUACAGCUUUCUCCUAAGUAGCGCUUGAAGCACUUUGCCUAAAUCAAAUUACUUUCGUAUCACUCGCGUGCUGAAAGUUGGAGCUUCAUGCCCAAAGACUGGGCGGAAGGGGUGACCGCCCUGGACCCCUGACCGACUUCCCAUUAGGCCGAGCCGCCAUCCCGAAAGGGGACAGUGUUCAGGCCAGCUUCCUGGAGACACACCUGCGCCUGCACACACCCACCUCGGUCGCGUCACCAAGGCCGAGGCCACCUGGGCGAGGACCAAAGUCUGGAGGGAAUUCCCUCAGCCACGGAGCGAUGGGAAAGCGGGACUCGGAUGUGCCUGCUUCCCCUUCUGCCAUGAUUGUAACUUUCCUGAGGCCUCCUCAGCCAUAUGGAACUAUAAGGGAUUUUGAUGUGGAGCUGGAUUUCCUGGUUCCAAAUCCUGGCUCCUCCCCUCAUACCUGGGCAAGAUGAAGAAUGAGAACAAGAGAGGUUUGAGCCUGACUCUCAGAUCUCUGCAUGGGGCAUGUCACUGAUGAUGGCAGCAUUCCCCAAGAGAGGGAACACUAAGUUUGAAGUUGGGCAUAGUGAGUACCAUUUUGGAUGAGUUAAGUUUAGAAGUGCCUGAAGACAUCCAAGCGGAAGAAGUGGCUACAUAGACUGAAGAUACAGAGUAGGAAAUGUUAACAACCUCCAGGAACUGUAGUCCUGGGCACAGGUGAGACUGCUCCCCGGGGAGCUGUAGAAGGAGAGGACACGAGGCCUCAGGCAGAGCUCUGGGUGAAGGUGGUGUACAGCCUGAGAGAAUGUUGGAGAUUGAGGGGAACAAGGAGAGAGUUGGUGAAUCAAGGGCUGUGCUAUGAGGGGAUGAGUCUGGGGAUGAAAUGUCAGUAACAUCAACUUCCAUUAACUGAUUAAAGAUGAAAAUAAUAAAGCUAGCUCCUGGGAUUGAAAGCCAAUUAAUUUUGUUCUUUUCUAGAGCUAAGACUAGCAUCUCAGAUGAUUUGUAAUUUGUAAAUGAAUUUGCAUCCUAUUUGUAAGUAAAUGCUUUGAUGUUAAGGACUUACCAAUGAGAGAACACACUAAACAAGGGGUCCCCAACCCCCAGGCCACGGCCAGGUAACAGUCCCGUGUGUUAGGAACCCAGCUGCACAGCAGGAGGUGAGCGG